Molecule: RNA transcript, 2215 nt
Organism: Hydractinia symbiolongicarpus
Lineage: Eukaryota; Metazoa; Cnidaria; Hydrozoa; Anthoathecata; Hydractiniidae
Exons: 3
Source: RefSeq, a predicted model, not a curated record
UAUAGCCCCCCACCCCUGUUCAAUGUUUAGUCAGUUCAGUGUGGAAGGCAAGUGUUGCAGCUAGCUAUCUAGCUCGUGAGCUCAUCUCCAUGUUUUGCUUGAAUUAUUAUAGCAGUAAGAUAUUAUGCCUUUUGCAAAGUCUAACAGGAAAGGGUCACGGAUCGUUCGCAAAACUCUCAGAAACGGUUAUACAAGAAGUGUUUUCAAGUCAUUUCAGCCGGUGAUAAGCAAUUCUUCUGCAAGCAUAACUACCAUCGAAGAAACAAAUAAUACAAGUGCUAUUGAGGAACCUUUAGUGCAAACUGAACAAUUUGAUAUUGAAGAACAUGAUAACGUACAGUUUUUGCUGAGUGGGGAUAUAGUUAAAAAAAAAAGAUGUGGCGGUUAUGAAAGAAAAAGAAUUACAUUCCUGGAGUUCUGUCACUUCUAACAUUUGUGAAAAUUAUGCUGAAAAAUUCAACCUUUUGCUUCUUCAAAAGUGUACGGUAUGUGAUUCGUCCUUUGAGGAAGGGCUUGUUUGGUGCGAAGACUGUGGUCCACUUGCGACAUAUUGCCAGGGUUGUACAGACGUUUCCCAUAAGAACAUUGCAUUUCAUAAUGCAAUUACUUUAAAGCCAAACUUUGACAUGAUGACAUGUACAUUUCACAACACAUUACACGAUGCUCACUGUUAUUCCUGUUCAAACAAAUAUUUUCGAGUAAUAACAAUUGUUUCUGAAAAAGGUAAUAUAUAGAUGUGACUAUGAUGUGAGUGCUCUAUUUGUACAGUUAGCAGUUGGAUAAGCCCUUAUAUUUCAUCUCCAUCCGCGUGAAGUCUGGUUCUGCACAUGUGAAUCUGAAUUUUCGAAGUUGUUAAAGUAUGAUUUAUGGGCAUCAACACCUACUUAACCUUCUACUGCAAUCUCAAUAAAAUUGCUGGACCUAUUUGUUGCAUUGCAAAUGGAGGGUAAAAUUUCUUUCACUUCAUUAAUUGAUGGAAUGUCAUGGAAAACUGGUAUGCAUAACCAAACUCUGAAACGCGUAUUAACACGUUUUAUGCAAACAGACUCCAUUGACCAAUACCUUCAGUUCCAGAGACAGUUGAGGGAUCUAUGGUUUUCAGACUUGAUAGCAAAAAUACCCAACCAAUGUCCAGCAUGUCCAAUAGUAUGGCAGCUUGUAAUUUAUGGAUAUUUUUGUAUUUCUUUUUUAUAUUUUUGUUGUAAUGCUUUUAGGAUUCUGGGAGUGUUUUCUAUUGCAUGGAUGCUACUUUUGGACUUGUUUUAAAAAGCUCUGCAUCAAAAUCAAAGAAUACCUCAAACAAUGACAAAAAUCAUUUUAUUGAAGAUGACGAAGUUGACACAUUCAUGUCUAGCUAUGAUGACAAAGCUGUGGAAAAUAAGGUGAGAUACACUUCAUCACCCUAAUUUAAUUCAAAACUUACUCGUUGUAAUAAAGUCUGAAAUCACCUUUGAAGCAGGGAACCGUGUCCGUUCAAAAAGAAAAAGUUCAAAGUUUAGUGUGACAGGUGUUUUUGGUGUAUCUUGUCGGCAUGAAAUUCCAAAGCUCUUUCUUAAAAUGUGACAUAUUGCAUAAACUUUCUAUUAAUGUAAACUAUGCACAAUAAUAUUUCUUGGACAAAGUAAUUUUCAGUCUGCGAUGUUGUUUAUUAUAGAAUAUUCAAUGAUAUUUUCUUUUCAUAUGAUUAGAAUUGGUUAUGCGGUAUUAAUGAUGAAUAAAAUCCUAGCUGAAGCGUUGGGUAAAGAUAUUGACGUCCAUAUUAUGUAUGAUAUUGCCAGUCUGUUGAAGAAACAUUUAACUGUAGGUUAUUCGUUUUCUAUAUGCAUUCUGGGUUAGCUUGAAACAUAUAUGUUGAACAGUAUAUAUUGAUCUAUAUUUUAGAAAAGAGGAACGUUAAGUAAAUACCCCAAAUUCAAAUUAGGGAUACCAGUAUUUCACGCACAUGUGAACAUUAGUUCUUGUCAGGUUUGUUUCUUUUUUAUUAUUGUUGUGUUUGUUGUUGUUGAUAUUGUUGUUGUUGUUCUUAAUAUUUUGGCAGAAUUUUUGUAAUAGUAACCGUUUUCCACAUUUUCAUUGUUAGGUACAAAAUUCAAUCCGUAGAAUGGAAGGUUUUGGUUUAAUGGAUGGGGAACUGAUGGAAAGACUCUGGUCCUAUUGGAGAUCGUUUUCAAAAAUCACGAAAGAAAUGACUUCAGCUUACCGUGUUGACUUUUUG